AACUGUUUUGAUGUAGUCUGCAUUGGCUGUUAUUGGUAUAACCUGCAGUAGUAAAACCCAUUCUUUAACUAUUCAUUUUUGCUUCUGAAUUCCCCCACUACUUUGGAUUUUUUACUCUUUCUCUCUUAUAUAACCUCUUUCUCUCUUAAUCUCUCACAUAGAGACACAGAGAUGAACACACACACAUGAACAUACACAGUUUACAUUAUAACUUUGGGUAUGUAAUCUGCAUUGAAAUCCUAUGAUGUUUUCCUACCAUUAUGAUACCAUGUUUCCCCAAGAAUUCUGGAAAUAGUAAUUUCGUGUGGAUUCUUUUAUUUUCUCUAGUCUUAGAGUUUUCAAAGAGCUCCAUUCUAUGGAACAGAAUGCCAUUAAACCUAGUUCUGAAGCUGGGAUUGAUAUGCCAGAAAAGCAGCAUGUAAAAUAUAAGAAAACAAAUAUAACAUCUCCAGCCACCAGGAGGAGCUUUUUCCUUUAUUUUUAUUUUUUCAGCACCAUCUUGUAAGGAUAUAGAAAAUAUUUGAAGAUUCCAAAAUUAUGCUUAAUUCUAAAUCCAUGGAUAAUAAAGAAACCUAAUUUACAUUCACUUCAAAUUCAAAGGAACAAUGAAUGGAAACUUUUGGAAUGAGCUUUAUAUACACCAAUAACUCACAGACUAUCAAGGAUCUUUCUGCAUCAGUGUAAGCUCCAAGGCUUUAAAAACCAUCUCUUUCUGCAAUUGGAUCUUUUCAAACAGGGAUGUUGAAAAUAUUCUUGUGGUAUGACAAUCUUUUCUUAAAUGUAGAGGAAGAUGUUUAAGUGAACAAAAGACAUGUACUAAUAAAUAGAUACUGACAAUAUCUAA
Long non-coding RNA from Pantherophis guttatus, 844 nucleotides. RefSeq lists it as uncharacterized. The record is from RefSeq and is a predicted model, not a curated record. Lineage: Eukaryota; Metazoa; Chordata; Lepidosauria; Squamata; Colubridae.